AGCAUCCAUCCCUUUUGUACUCUUUCUGGGUAACUUUCACUCUCUAUGUCUGAAAUGCCAUUGGUUGGAAACUUGAGUGGAGCGGCUUGUCAUUGGUUAGCUCUGAUACCCAACAGUUUCUUUUCUCUCUAAACAGGAAAGUAGAGGAUGUGGAGGACAGGGAUGCCCAUAUAUAGAAACAGUGGGAUUUCCCACAACCUCUGGGAUAACUGCCGAGCAGUCUAGUGCCUCAGUUACUCCUUCCCUGAUAUCUGAUCUGUCUUCCUAUCCCAUCAGUGGUGAAAAGUAAAUCAAUUACAUCUUCUUUUAAGUAAAGUCUGAGGUAAGUCAGUCUGUGACUCCACUACCUUUCAGGGGAAUAUAUAGUACCUUCUACUCUCCACAACUUUAAUCUUACAGCUCCUGAUUGCUUUCCUGAUUAAGAUUUUCAAAACCUAUGAAAAGCAUAAAAAUACAGUACUUUGUUAUACUUAAGGUAACAAGUUGUUAAAAACAGCUCCACUUCAACCAGAUCCAACAUUAACAUGCUGCUUACAUGUAAAUGCAUCAGUAAAACAUUCAAAUGAUAUAAUUAUAUGGCGGUGACAGCAGCCUUUCACUUUUAAUUCUCUUAGUGCACUUUGUUAAUAAUACUUUUACCUGUACCCUUUGGACAGUGCCAGGCUAGAUAGAUCCCUAUGUUUCCAGGAUUUGAGCUAAACUAAGCUAACUAGUUGUUGGCUGUAUCUUCAUCCGUAUAGUACAGACAUUAGAGUAGUAUUGAUAAUCUCAUCUGACUCUUGGCCAUAAAGAAUAUUUCCCCAAUGUCAAAGUAUUUCCCUUUUUUUAGUUUUGAAUGGAAGAUAUUUACUUGUAAUUGAGUAUUUUACACAGUGGUGUUUGUACUGUCAUUUAAAGGAUACUUCUUCUGUAUUCCAUCAUAUUCCUCUUUCAUUUCUUUUCUUUUUUCUUGCAUAAUUUCUCUUUCUGAGUGUCAUUCUGCCUCCAUCUUAGGUUUCCCUUGAGCAAUCCAAAAGCAGAAGUAAUGAACACUGUUUGGUCUGAAAUGAGUGAGUGAGCAGUGGAUAAAGGAAUGGCUGUGGUUUAUAUUACCGACACACUUAGAGUAAGACCAUCAUUAGACUUGGAACUUCUGGGGAUUAUGCCAGAUGAGGAUUUGUUUAUGAUGUGUGAUGGUGUAGCAGGCAUUCAUUGUGUUGAUUCAGUGGCAAAGAAUGUUCAUGUUCAGUGUAUAUAUAUAUGUAUGAGUGUUUUUGUUAGUUUUUCAGUGCACACAAUGGUAUGGAUGGUUACAUAAACUCAUCUCAACUCUGUCUGCCUGCAUCUGUUAUUUGAGGCCUUUAUCUUAAAGGUAUCCACUCUAUCAGGCUCAAGUCUUUAUAUCAAGAUUUAAUCACAGCAACACACCUUGAUUGCAGUGUUGACUAUUCACAAAUUAUCAAUCUUCAAUACAAUUCAUUUAAACUUGAUCAAUUUCCAGUGUUGGCUAUUAUCUCUCUAUGCUAAUGCUCAAACAGAAUCACAGAGUUGUCUGUUUCUUCUAUCUGUGGUCAUUAGGAUUAUGUAGUUAACAUAAAUAAACAGACUUCUCAAUUGGCCAGAUGAUGUAAACAUGCUGAGCUGUUGAAGCAGUAAUCCUAUUUAAGUGAGCUGCUUUGAGCGUGUUAUUUCCAAAUUUCUUCACUUUUAUUACUAGAUCUUUCUACAGUCUUUUAUUCACUUCAGCACACAAUAAUUUGUACACAAUUUAACACUUAAUUCUAAAUAUGUACUGUAAAAAGACAGGUACACAUAUUUAAAGUUACAUUCAUCACAAUGACAGGAGUUUUGCUAAAUUACAAAAUUAUAGGGGUUCCAGAAAUUUAAACACAGGUUUCUUCAUGUUCGGAUAUCAGGUCAGGAGAUUACAAUAGAUACACUCUGGGGUCAACAAUCAGUCAUGAUGUUCUUACACAAGAGAAAUAGGAUGAAGUGGAUCAAUUUGAGACAGUGUACGGUCUGACAAACAGACUAAAUCUAUAAGCAAACACACAGGAAUACAGAUAUACACAUUUAAAAUGACAGAUAUAUACAUGCAUAUGUACAAAGACCAGCAGACAUGCAUGCGCCCAUACUCAUAUAUGCACACCUGAUGCAUGCAUAUGUGUCAAUCCUACACAUGUGUACACAUAUGCAGAAGAACUUUACACUGUUACUGAACGACCCUUUUAAAGUCUGCACAGAAAAACCUCAGCUUGAGUCCCUGUAUUAGUCAGAAGACUACGCUGUGACAAUAGCAGUGAACAACACAUGUAGCAUUGGUGAAUGAACUGCUCCCACUAGAAGGUUUCAGUAACUCUGUUUUGGUUCCCACUUAAACAAAAUUACAUUACACAUACCUGUUUUGCAGUAUUUCCUGAACUUGAAGGAGAUUGAACAUAUUGGACAAAUUAAUGGACAAAUUAGUUCAUAUAUUAUAGGAUAUAUUGAAGAUUUAUUUGAACAAAAGGCAGAUCAUAGAAAAAUAAUCAGUACAAAAAAAUUAAAACAUUAAAAUGUAAGUUAAAUACUCUUUUACAGUUUGCGAUUAAGGUACAAUGUCUGUAUCUGUAAACCAUACUGAAUGUACUAAUAUGUGUAAGUGUUUUACCAUCUGUUUCUCAUUUGAUUUACCUCAUUGUGAUUACCCAAUUAGUUUUUACUAACCUGUGAUUUCUAAUAUUUUGAGUAGUUCUCUUGUUAAGGCAGGAUAGUGAGACAAAGUGACUAGAAGGCAAUGGUCAUGUAACUGCAAACAACUAUGUUUUAAAACGUUUUCUUUUCUGUAUGAAUGUACACUGACCAUCAGAUAUUGUGAGGGUAUAAUUUUAUAGGCUGUGGCUCUCUGGGAAAUGAUGCAUGAAUACAAUAUAUGCACACACCCUCACAUGCACGCAACAAGCCUGCGUCAUUUUCUUGGCAAUAGGUUCUGGCAGCAGUUUUUGUAGAGCCGUUGUUGCUUCAACCCUUCUCGAAUUCCUGUAAAUCCUUUCUCCAUGAACACUUCCAAGCAGACAUGGGAAAAACCUCUGUGAGUCAGUAUGCUCAUUACCCAUGGGUUCAAUGUAUGUAGACACACACACACACACACACACACACACACACACACACACACACACACACACACACACAAACAAAAAAACACUCUACGGGCUGACAUAUUAGGUCUUGUUUACCCCUGCAAACGUUUGGUUUUUGGAGCCUGAAAUGUCAUGUGCAAGUUAUAGAAGGAAGUUAGGCCCUCCUUAGCCUAGUGGUGCAAGUAAACGUGCCACUGCAACAUUCAUAGUGCAUGAGUAAACUGAAAAAGUCUCUGGAUUUUCAGAAAUCUAUAGCCUGAGUGUCUAUCACUGGUAGAUAAAUCCAAAUAUUGAUUGUUGAUUGAACAGGCCUUAUGCGUCCUUAUGUGCAAGACCACAUUCUUACCACGAACAUAUAAGUCACCUAAGAUAUACAUUAAGAUCUUAUGAAAGUGAAGAUUAUUCAUGUAACAUUGGCAACCUAUUCCAAUGAAACUGGCCCUGUCGUUCAAUGUAUUCUAUUAGAAUGCUACUUGUUUAAUUCUGGCAAUUGUAGAAAAUGACACAGUGGCCAAGUUAUAUAAUACACUAGGCCUGACCCUCUGUGUUUUAUUCUAGAUUGUAUUUUAAAAAUCUUUAAUCAAGCUGUUUUUCUUCAAACCUAUAGAUCAGACUGAGCAGCUGUAGAACUUGAGCCACCUAGAAUCAGUGAAAACACUGAGGGCACACAGUUUGUCUAAAUUAAUUAAAAUUGAGGGAACAUAUCUUGUGCUGUAGGGGCUAUUUUUCAUUUUAAGAGUAAUAACAUGUUUAUCACUUUUGUGGUUUGGUUGAAGAGUUGUAUCUAUUCAGAGAGAAAGCAUUAAAGAUACCCUGUUUUUGAACACUA
Molecule: long non-coding RNA, 3927 nt
Organism: Dicentrarchus labrax (European seabass)
Lineage: Eukaryota; Metazoa; Chordata; Actinopteri; Moronidae
Exons: 2
Source: RefSeq, a predicted model, not a curated record